UACCGGCUGCCUUGACCUGAUUUGUUUUUGUUCUGUUUUUAUGAACCAUUGUUAUGUGUUUAAAUGGUGUUCCUUUUCGUUUUGUCAACCUUCUUUUCCUGAUCUAAGAAUGGAGGAGGCUCAUCUCAGGAAUGUGCAUUUAUGAACAAAAGCAGUUUGUGUGAACCAGCACAGAUCGUGAAAAUGGGUGUCUCUGAUAAAGCAGCUAUUGUUCUUCAAAUCCUCAAUGAAACAGCUAAGCUUUUUGAAAGGAAGGACGUCCCCUUCUCCAGUGUGAGAGGCGUUCUGGAGUAUAUCUAUUAUGUACACGAUCAGCUAAAACCUUGUCUGCAAUCCAAAACCAGUCUUCCUCUGAUGGACAGCCCGAUAGAAGAUUGUUUCAAAAAGCUGCAGCUAUUUUUGAACGAUGGGAGCAGUCACUGCACUUGGCAAGUGGCUCGCGAAGAUAUCAUGGUGGUUUUCCAACAACUUGAACUUGACAUUUCUGCUUCACGGCAUCGACAGCGUAGAACUGAGGUGAAGAAUCUUCUGCUUCCAUGAGUCGGCCGAUGCUGCCCCACAGCCUUGUAGCAUUGAAUAUACC
This 583-nucleotide long non-coding RNA is filed under the name Podarcis muralis (Common wall lizard). RNAcentral's name for it is "lncRNA (ENSPMRG00000013140.1)". Lineage: Eukaryota; Metazoa; Chordata; Lepidosauria; Squamata; Lacertidae. The record is from RNAcentral.